UGUGCAAUCUGGUUCUGUUGCUUCGGGCCUCAGAGGCUCUGGGCCUCAUAUGUAAUGGGAGUAAUACAAGUAUAGUGGUAGUGGAUUGUGUGCAUGCCGCUGUGCAUGGAGAUUAAGUGAAAUGUAAUUAAGUAAAGGCAUUCUCUCACUAAUAUAGAGGUAAUGAUGCAAAAGUUGUAAUUUGAAUACCAAUUAUAAUACAUAUAUUUGUCAUUCUUUCAUGGAACCACAGUCAUCUUAGAGUUGAGAAAAAAGAACAAUGAUCUUUCAUCAAAAACACAAAGGGAAAUUUACUCAGCUUUUAAAAGGCAAAUGCAUUAAAGUUUUUUUUUUUUGCUUUAAUUUUGAAAGUCAAAGCUCCCUGCAUUUAAGGACUAGUAAAGGAGAUCUGAAGUUGUUUGGAGGGCUCUGGAGGAUUCUAAAACAGAGACUUUACUAUGAGAACCAAGGGAUAUAGAAUGAUCAACCUGACAAUAUAACAGGUGUGCAUUUCAUGCAGAGCUGCUCCCCUUCCACCUCCCCAAACUCCUGACCAUACUUUGCAGAUACCAUAUUUUUAAUUGCCAAGGAACUCUAUCCUAUUUUAUGUGAGCCACAUAAUUAAUAUAUAACAGCAGUGUAUUUGGGUGAGCAGAUAUGGUAUCUAACCUUGCAUAUACAUGGCAUUAUUGUCACUCUGGAACAGGAAUGGGAGUCAAGGACCUGCUGAACACAUCUGAACCGUCACGACUGGGGAGUUUCUAAGGGGAGGAAGUGGCUGCUUAUGACGUGAGAUCCAUCCCUGAAUGUCUAUAUAUUAUGAUCAUAGGACUGUAGACAGUCCCAGUGGGAGAGGCUAUAAAGAUUCACAAGUGUAACCCAUUCUUACAUAGAUUCAAAGGACAGAGAGAAGCCCUUGUGAGCAGCGCCUACCAUGCACGGCUGCUGUGCUGUUAGUCCAUUCAAUUCUGGAUACAAGUCUGUGACACAGCUGUCACUACCCCUUUUUACCAACUGAGAAACUGUGACAGGAAGGAGAAAGCCACUUGCUCAGAGCCUCACUUUUGACCUGGUAGAAAGCCAAGAUUCAAAGGGAACCAGAAACUGCUGUGAGUUUGAUGAAUCAUAAAAAUGUUAGAACAGUACUCUAGAUGUUACUGAGUGGAGAACGUAGCAUUUUGACACCUGAAACAGAUCACUUACACCCCCUCACCACCAAAUGUCAAAAUUAUUUUUAGUAGUAGAUAUGAAACAAAACACACAGGGAUGAGAAAAUGAGAAAAAAACAUACGGAAUAUAACAAUUUUAAAAAUUAAAUUUGGCAUAUAUUAUCUUACUAGUAAAAACUAAACAUGAACAUCAUAGUGUAAACAAAAAUAUGACAACUCUGAGUUUGCAGUCUGUUUCACUGUUUCACAUUUUAAAUUUAAAUGAUAAUUCCAAGUGAUCACAUAGAUGAAAUCAUACAUAGAACUGGGUCACAUGAGGAAUUGGAUUAACUCAAAUUUUGUGCCUUAGUCUUUGCAGUUACUGUGCUGUCAUGGCUUAUUUUUAACCUAGAGUUUAAAUACAUGGGUGGGAAACAUGAAGAGUACUCCAGGCAAGACUGGACAAGACCAUUAGUAAAUUAUACUUGAGUUUGGGUAUGUCGUAAACCAACUGCCUUAUGCAUAUGACCUCAAUUUAAUCCUAAACCCAAAGAGAUAAGUGUACUAUUAUUAUUACUCUCAUAUUAUUGAUGAGGUAGCCAAGGUACAGAGUUCAAAUGACCUGUCCAAGGUCAUAGGGCUAGUGAUUAGAUGGGAUUAAACUGUUGGGGUGGUCUCUAAAGUCAACCCUCUUAAUCCCUCUGCCUUAAUUCUCUCAUCUCAGUUUACAUGUCAACACACCCUGAGCUGCCCCCAGUACCACCCUCCUCCCAAAUCAGGAAGAGGAUACUUUGUUUCAAUGAUGAAAGCUCUCUAGGUAAGGUUUCUUGUUUGUUACUUUGUUUGCUUUCUUUUUUUACUUUUACUUAGAACCCAUGAAUAUAGUGUCUAAAAAAGAUUGCAAACAGGGAUUAGGGCAGAUGGGACAUUUCCCUUUCAGAGGAGUCUGCUCCUUAAUUAAUUAUGUAAUCAAGUAGCACUAAUUUAAGAUACACUAUCCCAGGAAUGUGUUAAAACCCUUGGGAGAAGGAGUGUGUCAAAAAACAUAGGACAAGAUAACUGUUUUAAGAUACUAUCUGGUUAGACACUGACAGAACUUCCCUUACUAUCUCAAUAAGACACAGAAAAAAGCAAAAACUCAUAAUAGUAUGAUAUCAGAUUGAUGGCUAAAUUUUGGCUAGAAAUUUGGAAACAAAUAAAUGUCCAACCCUAGGAACAGAUCCCUUCUGUUUCUUUUUGAGUGCACAGUUCCUUAAACUGUUGUUGUAAAAGAGGAGAGGGAUGAUUGCUGAUGGUGGUACAGGGCAUCCUCCCAGAAGAAUUGGAGACAGGGAGCACCAGGUUUAGGGCGUCUAGGGAGCCUUCACCUCUUGAGUUCUCUCUAUGUCUAGGCUACCCGUCUGAGCAUGGGGAUAGAAAGUGGCCCCACUCCAGCUUUCUUUUUACCACACCUGACCUGGGAACCAUGGGGUAUCAAUUUGCUUUUUAGAUGAUGGUGGUGAGAAGGUAAUUCCGUUAGCACCUAGGAGGUCAGAGGAAGUCAUCAAGGUCAACCUGCCUUCUUGUUGACUGAAACCAAUGGGAAUUUUGCAUAAGAUCUAGAAGCACACAGUCCAUAUUUUGAUUCUGCCACUUACCUUUUAAAGUCUUAGUUUUGUAAUAUGGAAGGAAUAAUAAUAGCAUUGUGAUCAUUCUUAUUUUCAAUAUGAGAAGACUAAUAAUAGCAUUGCCCUCAUUCGGGGUUAGGAAUACUAAAUGUGAGGGAAAUGGUUAUAAUACACAUCUAUAAUCCUUUAUCUGGAUCCUUUAGGUCCAGGUGUGGUUUUUGUUUGUUUGUUUGUUUGUUUUCUGUCUUUUUAGGGCUGCACCCCAGGUGUAUGGAGGUUCCCAGGCUAGGGGUUGAAUUGGAGCUGCAGCUGCCAGCCUACGCCACAGCCACAGCACUGCCAGAUCCAAGCCACAUCUGUGACCCACACCACAGCUUGCUGCAAUGCUGGAUCCUUUAACACACUGAAUGAGGCCAGAGAUCAAACCUACAUCCUCAUGGAUACUAGUUGAAUUCUUAACCUGCUGAGCCACAAUGGGAACUCUCCCAGGUGUGUUUUAUAAUUCAAAAUUUUAGGGGGAAUUUGUAAUAUUGUAAAAUACCCUCAACAGGGUCUAGGGAACACCCCAUAAUAAUAUACAUACUUUUUUUUUUCUGAAACAAAAUCUUUGAAUUGUUACUCUUAGUGGGAUAUGUAAAUACAACAAAUUGCUUCACGUAUAUUUAGGGUGGGUUUUGCUGCCAAAUGAGUUUGCCACAGACUUGCAAACAAAACAAGCCCUUUGUUUUUUCAAAACUUUUUGAGUUUCACCACUGUAGAUGAGGGAUUAUCGAUCAAAGAUAACAAUAUCAAAUACCAGGCAUCUCCCUUCUGUGCUGGUACUGGUGCUGCCUGAUGUGGCUACACCAGCCCCACUGUGCCUGUGGGUCCUGGCCUCCCUGACCCCCAGACCCAGGGACUGGGUGGAGCUCAGCCCAGGCUCAGUCCUGCUGUGGGCACAGUGUCUUCCCUCAGCAUAGCCCCUAAGCAGCCUAGGAGUUCAGACACUGAAGCCGUUGUGUUCCCACGACCUUCACUCAAGUGGGUCAAGUGUCAGGCCUGGUGCCCACUCAGCCGAGUACAUCUCUCUGCUAAGUCUCCGACCACUGUUUUAAGUAAUUAGUUAGCACCCAAAGUACAAGCUGACCUCCUGCUCUAGGGUCUUCAGUUAUACCACAGGCUGGGUAAAGCCCUCAUCCCUGAGCCAGCUUGCUAAUUCUCUGAAAUUUUCCAAGUCCUUCUUUCCUGUCUGUAGAAUUGCUACCCCAGAUCUGCCAAGUCCUCCUCUCAGUCUGCUUCCCUAAACUGAGACUGGUUCUCUGCUGCUGGACUUUACUUCCUGGACCAUCCUCUCCAGCAGAGUUCCUGAGCAGGAGCUCUUUAUUAUCUCCCAUGAACACUGGGAUCAGGGUGGGCUGGUCGGGUUCCUUGUGUCCUAUUCCUGCUCUCAGAUUUCUAUUUCCUUCAGCAUCAUGUAAGAAUCCCAGUGUCCAUCUUCUAUACCACCCUCCCCUCAUCACCAGCAUCUCCUGCUCUCAGUCUCUCCCACUUGCUCACUGAGCAUCCCAGGCUGAAUCAGAGUCCUUCCUAUCCCAAGCCCUUCCUUCAUCCCACCCCAGGAGAUCUCAUGAUUUCGUGGAUGAUAGUACCAGUAUCCUGACCUCUCAAUUGCUCCAUUUCCUUCCUCACUCCAUUUCAACUGUCCACUCUGUCAGUUCUAUUCAGUACCUGUCACCAUUCAAAAUACCCUGACUUCAAAAUAAAGUUGUUCAGCCAUCCUGCUUUCUUUCCACAACCUUGUGCCCUUCCAGUGUGUUUGUUAAAUUACUCUUAGUAAAUCAUUCGUUAAUCUCCUUGGGGACUCCAGUGAAUUGAUUCUUCAUUGUUUCUAAUCCAUCAUCCCCCUGUAUAUUUUUUCACUCCACUCCCUAUCAAGUUUAGACUGAAUAGUCCAUCAUUUUCAUGUCUCUCUUGCCAAUACCCUAAAUACCUUAUUUCUAUCUCUUGUACCACUUGGCCAAAUACCAACCCCAAAUUAACACUCCCACCCCCUUUUUCUUUAUCUGCAUCAGAGGAGCUGAAACUACUAGAGUAACUGAAUUGAUAGGGAAGAUCAGAAUCUCUCUCAGGAAUGCCUUUGUAGGGUACAAUACAUUGAAUGUUUAUGUCCCCCCCAAUUCACAUGUUGAAGCUUUAACCCCCAGUGUAAUGGUUUGGGGAGAGAGGGCUUUUGGGAGGUAUUUAGGUAAUGAGGGUGCAGCCCCCAUGGUGGGAUUAGUGUCUUUAUAAGAAAACAAGCCCAUAACAGAACCCUCGAAUUUCUCCUGAACCUUUGCACUUAUCAUCUCUGCUGCCACCACUCUAGUGCAAACUAUCCCAUAUCCACUCUGACCUUUUCAGUCUCAUCGCCACACUGCAGAUAAUGUUAUCUUUAAACAUGUAGAUCUACACACAUUACCUCCAUUUUUGAAAGCACCCUAGUGACUUUCUAUUGCUUCUAUGAUAAAACAAAAGUCCUUGUAGUUCCCUGGUGGCCUAAUGGGUUAAGGACCCAGUGUUGCCACUGCUGUGGUGCUGGUACAAUACCUGGCUCUGGAAUUUUCACAUGCUGCAGGUGCAGAAAAAAAAAAAAAGGGACACAUUCUCCCUAUGUCUACAGCCCGAUUUUACUCUAGUCACAUUUGUCAUGCAGUCAUACUUUUUCCACCUUUGCUGAAUUAACCACCUCACACACGCAGACCUUAAUAAAUGUUUGUUCCUCAGGGAACCUCCUACAUAUCCUUGGUCUUGGGAAGGUUUAUCUGCUAUAGAUACUUUCAAAACAGUGGGCCUUUCUUUCAGAGUCCUCAACCAGCUCUUAGUGACUUAGUUGUUAGCAUGAUUAUUUAAUUAUGUCCAUCUUCCCACUAAUCUCUAAGAUCCAUGAGAGCAAAUCAGUGUCCUUCUCAGAUUGGUUCUUUUCUCAUUAUUGCAUUCCCAGCAAUUAGAAGGUAGCCUACAUAUACUCAAUGCAUGGGUGAAUACAAAAGAUACUGUUGUGGUUGCCAAGAGGGAGGGGGAGGGAAUAGGAGGAACUGGGAGUUUGGGGUUAAUAGAUGCAAACUAUAGCCUUUGGAAUGGAUAAACAAUGGGAUCCUGCCGAAUAGCACUUGGAACUAUGUCUGGUCCACUUGUGAUGGAGCAUGAUAAUGUGAGAAAAAGAAUGUAUACAUGUAUGUGUGAUUGGGUCACCUUGCUGUGCAGCAGAUAAUUGACAGAAUACUGUAA
This 5980-nucleotide long non-coding RNA is filed under the name Sus scrofa (pig). RNAcentral's name for it is "lncRNA (ENSSSCG00000061719.1)". The record is from RNAcentral. Lineage: Eukaryota; Metazoa; Chordata; Mammalia; Artiodactyla; Suidae.